Molecule: ribosomal RNA, 253 nt
Filed under: uncultured bacterium
Lineage: Bacteria
Description: partial 16S ribosomal RNA
Rfam family: Bacterial small subunit ribosomal RNA
Source: RNAcentral
UACGUAGGGGGCAAGCGUUGUCCGGAAUCAUUGGGCGUAAAGCGCGUGUAGGCGGCUUGGUAAGUCCGCUCUGAAAGCCCGGGGCUCAACCCCGGGAGGCGGGUGGAUACUGUCAAGCUCGAGUCCGGAAGAGGCGAGUGGAAUUCCUGGUGUAGCGGUGAAAUUCGUAGAUAUCGGGAGGAACACCAGUGGCGAAGGCGGCGACCUGGGCAGAUACUGACACUGAGGUGCGAAAGCGUGGGGAGCAAACAGG